CAGAAGCCAAAGAAUGACACAGUCGUGCACCAUGGAAGGCAAAGGGCUGGUGGCUGAGCUGCAGAGAGCGGCUAUCUGCCCAGCCUGCAGGGGUCACUUUAAGGACCCAGUGAUCCUCGAUUGUGACCACAGCUAUUGCCGGGCUUGUAUCACUCGCUACUGGAAUGAGGAGACCGCAAAGGGAAAUCAGGUGUUAUCUUGCCCCCUGUGCAAGAAAGUCUUUGAGAGGAGGAACCUCCGCACCAAUGUGAAGCUGGCUGUCGAAGUCAAGAUCACUCAACACCUCAAUGCCAAGACAGCCCAGGUACCCCUUGCCCCAAAGUCCAAGCGCCGCCGUGGAGGGUGGAGACCCACAACCAGCAUCCAGAAAGAAAAGGAAAGCUUCAGAGAAUUCUGCAGCUGUUAUGGUGACUUGGCAAAAUCCCCCUGCCCGAAGACUGAUGGCUGGAAAGAAGCAAGGCCAGAAUAGUGAAAGCAACACAGAAAGAACAAACAAAGCUGCUUUAUACCAGCUAAUGUUUGGAACCUUCACCACCCAUUUUCACCUGAAUAUUCAACCAGAGCUCUUCCAAGUGACUCCCUCUGGUUUCCAAAACCCACUGCAUGGAAAGGAUGGAGAAAUUAAUGUUGCUGCCAGUCCUGAAUUCUGGACACAUUGAGAAAAAAAUGUCCUUUGCAGAUGCCUGGAAACCUCUGGACUUCAUUUCUUCAUAUCCUCUUCAACCGAACCUGAACAGUAGAACCAAAUUUCAGGAUCGAAGUUGCCUCUACUUCAGAAGUUCCACCCAUAACUGAGCAGACCUGAUUUUUGGAUGAGUUCACUUAAGAGAAAAAGCCUUUACUUUAAGGCCAAAACUUGGGAGCUCUAACCUGAACUCUGGAAAAAUCCCCCUCUGCCUCCUCCAGACCUCACUAGAUAUGGGUGACAUGACAGAAAGAAGCUUGUGGGCUUUUGUUUUUAGGUUGCUGUUGAAUCUAGACUGAAAAUUAACCCAGAGAGGGGAAACUGAUGUCAGGCAAGGAUUGGCACUGGAGCUGCAAUCCUGCAAAACAGAGAAAGGUAUAUAAUGCAAUUUCAACAAACCUGCCUGGCAUCCCUGUCACAGCUACCAGGAGCAAUCCCAGUCAGCAAAAGGCUGUAAAGUAUGAAAUUUUCCUGUAAACUGGCAGAAUACUGUGGGUGAUAUUUCUUUCAUCUUCUCUAGCAAAAGGCAGGAAGAAGCUCUUUUAUAAAGUCUCCUGGGUCAAAGCUGGCGCUUCUUGAGUUAGUUGUCUACCAUUUCACUCCCAGAAUUCAUUUCACUGGUCACUUUCCUCCAUCUUCUUUCCUGACGGAAACUCUGUUUCCACCUUCUGCAUUCACGGAAUGAAAGUGGAGGUUUUCGAACCCUACUCAAGGCAGGAGACCUUGUACUAUCCCGGCCAAAUGGCUGUCCAAUCUUUUCUUGAAAACCUCCAGCCAUUGAGCACCACACCUCCAGGAGGCAAGCUGUUCUUUACUUUAGUACACCAAGGACACCACAGUGUGGAUAAGGGGUAACCUGGUUUGUUUGUUGCUUAGCAGAAUGUGCAAACCGGGCUUCAAUGGCCUCGUUCCACAAACAAGAACAAAUACUGAGUACUAUUCACAAACCCAUUCUAUGCCGAUCAUUGAGGAGCAGCACAAAUGAGAGCAUUUUUGGCUUGAAAUAAAAUUUUGCUGAAAAUCACUGUACAAUCAUUCCUUAAACCACCAACAGGUGAAAAUGUUAGGACUUGAGGGGAAAGAAAUGUCACUAAUGUCAACCAGUUCUUAUAAAGUUGAGCCAGAGCCUGCUUAUGGGGAAACCUCUGGAGUGUUCUACCUUUGUUCCCCUUUUUUAAAAAAAAUUAAAAAUGAAUUAACAAGAUUUCUUGUUUCCCUACUGAAUGGUACGCAUGUGCACGAAUAAGGAGGAGACUGCACUACCAUCACAUAGUUAACACUGCAUUGUUUUUAUUUUAUCUGUAAUAGAGUGAUUUUUAAUUUGUGCUUGACUGUAAAUGUAUUCGGGUCCUUCAUGGUACUUGGCUGAAUGUAAAAUCAAGAGCAAAUCAAAAGGCUGACCGCCAAGGCAACUAGUGCAUCUUCUUGCAGGAGGCGUUGGACUGGAAUUUUCAAUAAUAAUAAUAAUAAUAAUAAUAAUAAUAACAACAACAACAACAACAACAACUUCAAGUGUAAGCUGUGGAGUCAAUCCUUGUGCAGCAUUUAAAUGAUUUGCCUCCCCCCAAUAUCAACUGUGAAGGACAUACAAUACUUGAUGCAAGCCAUCAAGAGACACUAGAGUUUAGACUGUGCACAGUAGAAAUGGGGAGAAUAAAUCAAUCUGCAGAACAAUACAGAUCAGAAAUCCAAAAUACUGAUUAGAAAUGUUGCCAUCUUUGUAGUGCUCCUGCUUUUCUAAUAGCAACACAAUCUAAGUAGUCCUUGAACUUACAACCAUCUGUGCUGAAAAAAGUGACUGACAGUCUUUGCACUUAGGUUGUAGCGUCCCUAUAGUCACAGGAUCAAAAUGUACUUGGCCACCGGUUAUGAUGGUUGCAGUGUCCUGGGAUCCUAUGAUUGCCAUUUGUGGUUUUUCUAAUUGACUUCCAAUGAGCAACGUCAAUGGGGGAAGCCUGGUUUGCUUAACAACUGGUUUGCUUAACAAUUCGCUUAAGGAUCGCAGCAAAAAAAAAAAAAAAAAUAGAAAAAAUUCUUUAGUGACAGAAGUUCCAGUCCCAUGUGGUUGUAUGUUGAGGACUACCAAUAGUAAAAAUGGAAUCGGGACUAGGUUAUAAAAAUGGGGCUGGAAAAGGAGAAAAGUGCUUUCUCUGAUUGUGCAGACACUGUUUUUUCCUUCAUCGCCACCCCUGAUAUUUCUAGUAGCAGCUACCAAAAGUUUUUCACAAUUUCUUUAGGAAAGGAUGCUGUAGUUCAGGGAUCUUCAGACUUAGCCCUUUUAUGACUUACGGACUUCAACUCCCAGAAUUCCUCAGCCAGGCAUGCUGACUGAGGAAUUCUGGGGGUUGAAGUCCACAAGUCAUAAAAGGGCCAAGUUUGAAGAUUCCUGCUGUAGUUCAACACACAGGACUUUUUCUAGAAAGCUGAUAAAUCAUUUUUUAACAGCUACAGAAAUGAAGAAACAACGUAGGUGUUCAUUCUACAGAACUAUCCGUGUUUCCACGAAAAUAAGACCAGGUGUUAUUAUUAUUAUUUUGCCUCCAAAAAAGGCACAAGGUCUUAUUUUCGGGGGGGGGGGGUGUCUUUUUUAUUCACCUUCUGCACUGACAGUCCUGCCCAGCCCAUCUACUUCUGUAGCUGAAGGAGUAGUUUCAUCCUGCAGCUGCAUUCUGGCCUGCAUUUCGCAGUCUGGCCUUUCUGGAAGGCUCUGCAGCCGAGGACUGAGCUAUGAAUUCAAUCUAUGGCUCGGUUCUAAGCUACAGUGGCCUUUCCAGAAAUGCAGGCCUGACUGAGAAAUGCAGGCCUGGCUGCAGAAGACGCCUCAGAAGAGGUGGGCUGGCGUGGAGAGGCCUGGCUGCAAGGUAUGUGGGUGUGGGGCGCGUGGGGAAGCUCCACAUCCCCACCCCUGCCCUAACUUGAUUUUUAAGUGUGUGCCUCACCCCAAAACUAGGGCUUAUUUUUGGGGUUGGGCUUAUAUUAGGCCCACCCCCAAAAUCAAGCUAGGGCUUAUUUUCAGGGUAGGCCUUACUUUCAGGGAAACGGUAUGUAAAUAUGGAAUUGUUUCAAUUCACUUAUUCUGCAGUUGAGCCAAGCCAGAAUGCGGUUGGUGUGACUGUGGCUUAAUGCCACGAACCUAGUCAUUUGUAUCAUAUUUAAGAAAUCUUCAUUAAAAGAGAAUAUGGUUUAACAGAA
Long non-coding RNA from Crotalus tigris (Tiger rattlesnake), 3877 nucleotides. RefSeq lists it as uncharacterized. Lineage: Eukaryota; Metazoa; Chordata; Lepidosauria; Squamata; Viperidae. The record is from RefSeq and is a predicted model, not a curated record. The transcript is spliced from 4 exons.